RNAcentral lists this ribosomal RNA (468 nucleotides) under uncultured bacterium. Its description in RNAcentral is "partial 16S ribosomal RNA". It matches the Rfam family "Bacterial small subunit ribosomal RNA", at positions 28 to 507 of the family's 1533-position model. The record is from RNAcentral.
GACGAACGCUGGCGGCGUGCUUAACACAUGCAAGUCGAACGGAAAGGCCCUGCUUUUGUGGGGUGCUCGAGUGGCGAACGGGUGAGUAACACGUGAGUAACCUGCCCUUGACUUUGGGAUAACUUCAGGAAACUGGGGCUAAUACCGGAUAGGAGCUCCUGCUGCAUGGGGGGGGUUGGAAAGUUUCGGCGGUUGGGGAUGGACUCGCGGCUUAUCAGCUGGUUGGUGGGGUAGUGGCUUACCAAGGCUUUGACGGGUAGCCGGCCUGGGAGGGUGACCGGCCACAUUGGGCCUGAGAUACGGCCCAGACUCCUACGGGAGGCAGCAGUCGAGAAUAUUGCGGAAUGGGCGGAAGCCUGAUGCAGAAACGCCGCGUGCGGGAUGCCGGCCUUCGGGUUGUAAACCGCUUUCGACUGUGCCGAAGCGUGAGUGACGGUAAUGGGUAAAGAAGCACCGGCUAACUACGUG